RNAcentral lists this ribosomal RNA (253 nucleotides) under uncultured bacterium. Its description in RNAcentral is "partial 16S ribosomal RNA". It matches the Rfam family "Bacterial small subunit ribosomal RNA", at positions 524 to 776 of the family's 1533-position model. The record is from RNAcentral.
UACGUAGGGCGCAAGCGUUGUCCGGAAUUAUUGGGCGUAAAGAGCUCGUAGGCGGUUUGUCGCGUCUGCUGUGAAAGCCCGGGGCUCAACCCCGGGUCUGCAGUGGGUACGGGCAGACUAGAGUGCAGUAGGGGAGACUGGAAUUCCUGGUGCAGCGGUGAAAUGCGCAGAUAUCAGGAGGAACACCGAUGGCGAAGGCAGGUCUCUGGGCUGUUACUGACGCUGAGGAGCGAAAGCAUGGGGAGCGAACAGG